Molecule: long non-coding RNA, 720 nt
Organism: Calidris pugnax (ruff)
Lineage: Eukaryota; Metazoa; Chordata; Aves; Charadriiformes; Scolopacidae
Exons: 4
Source: RefSeq, a predicted model, not a curated record
CCAACACUAUUUGCUUUCCAGCUAAAAGCCAUAAUUUUUUGACUGCAUUUCAAACUUCUGCUCCUGCAAUGCAGAAGAGCACACAGGAGCCAGAGGACUCACAGCAGCUUACAGAGAAACACAAAAUUCAAGAGCAAAGAGCAUUGCAGCAAGUCAAGAGUGGUCAUGAAUAUCCUCCACUUCCAUCUGGACGUUCAGCACAGCUUUGAAAGAAACUUGGUGGACUGAGGCCAACUGAGAUGCCUGGGCUGCAUUCUGAAAGCAGUCCUCCUGAGUGCCUCAUCUAGGAUGGCAGCAUUCUGUUCUUAAUCUGGACACAUCACGCUCCUAAGAGCAUCUGCUGUCAUUGCCAAAAGACUGAUAAACAGAGCCUCAGAAGGAAGUAGAGAGCAUGGAUGGCACUGAACCUAUGAUGACACAAGUGAUGCUACCUCAGGACAGAAUUAGCAUCUGCCCACUCCUGUUCCUCCUACUGCAGAGGGAAUUCAAUACUACUGCUGAUGGGGAGGAGACAAAUCUGCAGGGAAAACGCUAAACUAAAACUGCUUGUGAUGGCAAGGAAAAGGAAAUCCUGGAAGAGGCAAGUAUCAUAUCAAGAGACAAAACUGAAGGAUAAAGCACUUAGAAAGUCCUAGAGGUAGUAAAAUACUCAUGGAAGAAGGUGACAGACAGACACGAGAGAUUGUUGAGUGCAAUUCAGGAGAGAGAAAAGAAAAACAA